UACGGGGGGGGCAAGCGUUGUUCGGAAUUACUGGGCGUAAAGGGCUUGUAGGCGGCCAACUAAGUCAGACGUGAAAUCCCUCGGCUUAACCGGGGAACUGCGUCUGAUACUGGAUGGCUUGAGUGUGGGAGAGGGACGCGGAAUUCCAAGUGUAGCGGUGAAAUGCGUAGAUAUCUGGAGGAACACCGGUGGCGAAGGCGGCGUCCUGGACCAACACUGACACUGAUGAGCGAAAGCCAGGGGAGCAAACGGG
RNAcentral lists this ribosomal RNA (253 nucleotides) under uncultured bacterium. Its description in RNAcentral is "partial 16S ribosomal RNA". It matches the Rfam family "Bacterial small subunit ribosomal RNA", at positions 524 to 776 of the family's 1533-position model. The record is from RNAcentral.